UGCAAGUCGAACGCUUCUUUUUCCAUCGGAGCUUGCUCCACCGGAAAAAGAGGAGUGGCGAACGGGUGAGUAACACGUGGGUAACCUGCCCAUCAGAAGGGGAUAACACUUGGAAACAGGUGCUAAUACCGUAUAACAAUCGAAACCGCAUGGUUUUGAUUUGAAAGGCGCUUUCGGGUGUCGCUGAUGGAUGGACCCGCGGUGCAUUAGCUAGUUGGUGAGGUAACGGCUCACCAAGGCGACGAUGCAUAGCCGACCUGAGAGGGUGAUCGGCCACAUUGGGACUGAGACACGGCCCAAACUCCUACGGGAGGCAGCAGUAGGGAAUCUUCGGCAAUGGACGAAAGUCUGACCGAGCAACGCCGCGUGAGUGAAGAAGGUUUUCGGAUCGUAAAACUCUGUUGUUAGAGAAGAACAAGGAUGAGAGUAACUGUUCAUCCCUUGACGGUAUCUAACCAGAAAGCCACGGCUAACUACGUGCCAGCAGCCGCGGUAAUACGUAGGUGGCAAGCGUUGUCCGGAUUUAUUGGGCGUAAAGCGAGCGCAGGCGGUUUCUUAAGUCUGAUGUGAAAGCCCCCGGCUCAACCGGGGAGGGUCAUUGGAAACUGGGAGACUUGAGUGCAGAAGAGGAGAGUGGAAUUCCAUGUGUAGCGGUGAAAUGCGUAGAUAUAUGGAGGAACACCAGUGGCGAAGGCGGCUCUCUGGUCUGUAACUGACGCUGAGGCUCGAAAGCGUGGGGAGCAAACAGGAUUAGAUACCCUGGUAGUCCACGCCGUAAACGAUGAGUGCUAAGUGUUGGAGGGUUUCCGCCCUUCAGUGCUGCAGCUAACGCAUUAAGCACUCCGCCUGGGGAGUACGACCGCAAGGUUGAAACUCAAAGGAAUUGACGGGGGCCCGCACAAGCGGUGGAGCAUGUGGUUUAAUUCGAAGCAACGCGAAGAACCUUACCAGGUCUUGACAUCCUUUGACCACUCUAGAGAUAGAGCUUCCCCUUCGGGGGCAAAGUGACAGGUGGUGCAUGGUUGUCGUCAGCUCGUGUCGUGAGAUGUUGGGUUAAGUCCCGCAACGAGCGCAACCCUUA
Molecule: ribosomal RNA, 1081 nt
Filed under: Enterococcus sp. 628B2_12ASB
Lineage: Bacteria; Bacillati; Bacillota; Bacilli; Lactobacillales; Enterococcaceae
Description: bacterial SSU rRNA
Rfam family: Bacterial small subunit ribosomal RNA
Source: RNAcentral